This 253-nucleotide ribosomal RNA is filed under the name uncultured bacterium. RNAcentral's name for it is "partial 16S ribosomal RNA". It matches the Rfam family "Bacterial small subunit ribosomal RNA", at positions 524 to 776 of the family's 1533-position model. The record is from RNAcentral.
UACGUAGGGUGCAAGCGUUAAUCGGAAUUACUGGGCGUAAAGGGCUUGUAGGUGGCCAACUAAGUCAGACGUGAAAUCCCUCGGCUUAACCGGGGAACUGCGUCUGAUACUGGAUGGCUUGAGUUCGGGAGAGGGAUGCGGAAUUCCAGGUGUAGCGGUGAAAUGCGUAGAUAUCUGGAGGAACACCGGUGGCGAAGGCGGCAUCCUGGACCGAUACUGACGCUGAGGAGCGAAAGCCAGGGGAGCAAACGGG